CUGCUAUCGAGGUUCGACUAAGCAUGCGAGUCGAAUGUAGCAAUACAUGGCGAACUGCUCAGUAACACGUGGACAACCUGCCCUUAGGUUGGGUAUAAACCCGGGAAACUGGGUAUAAUACCCGAUAGGUCUCGAUUGCUGGAAUGCAUCGAGAUUUAAAGCUCCGGCGCCUAAGGAUGGGUCUGCGGCCUAUCAGGUAGUAGUGGGUGUAGCGUACCUACUAGCCUACGACGGGUACGGGUUGUGAGAGCAAGAGCCCGGAGAUGGAUUCUGAGACACGAAUCCAGGCCCUACGGGGUGCAGCAGGCGCGAAAACUUUACAAUGCUGGCAACAGCGAUAAGGGAACCUCGAGUGCCAGGUUACAAAUCUGGCUGUCGAGAUGCCUAAAAAGCAUUUCAUAGCAAGGGCCGGGCAAGACCGGUGCCAGCCGCCGCGGUAACACCGGCGGCUCGAGUGGUAACCGUUAUUAUUGGGUCUAAAGGGUCUGUAGCCGGCCGGAUAAGUCUCUUGAGAAAUCUGGCAGCUUAACUGUCAGGCUUUCAGGAGAUACUGUCUGGCUCGAGGCCGGGAGAGGUGAGAGGUACUUCAGGGGUAGGGGUGAAAUCUUGUAAUCCUUGAAGGACCACCAGUGGCGAAGGCGUCUCACCAGAACGGACCUGACGGCAAGGGACGAAAGCUAGGGGCACGAACCGGAUUAGAUACCCGGGUAGUCCUAGCCGUAAACGAUACUCGCUAGGUGUCGGCCACGGUGCGACCGUUGU
RNAcentral lists this ribosomal RNA (762 nucleotides) under uncultured archaeon. RNAcentral's name for it is "bacterial SSU rRNA". It matches the Rfam family "Archaeal small subunit ribosomal RNA", at positions 27 to 795 of the family's 1478-position model. The record is from RNAcentral.